ACCUGAAGUGACAGACACAGUGGCAACAGAGCAGGGUGUGCCUGGUUGGGGCAUUGCCAUCCUGGUGCUGGCAGCCAUCAUACUUUUCUUCAUGCUUGUCCUGCUCAUACUGCUGCUGCUGUUUUGGUGCUGUUGGUGGAGACAGCGUGGCUUCAUGAAUGUGUCUGAUCCAGACCAAAUGGGCUAUUAUAACCCCGACAUUCCUAUGUACUCCACUUACAGCACGUAUGACUCACACAACGGCAAGUCACUGGAGUCAGGCUCCGAGAGACCUCCUAAAAAACAGACUGGAAUGUACGCAGUGAACAAGUGACGCGACACCCAGGGCUUCAAGUCAAAUGGUACAACUUUUGGAUUAAACAACAAAAGCCACAUCAUAAUUUACUCACCACGACUCAGCAACAACAAUCAGGUGCUGUUUGGCUCUCCUGCUCUACCU
Ictalurus punctatus (channel catfish) is the source of this 439-nucleotide long non-coding RNA. RefSeq lists it as uncharacterized. The transcript is spliced from 3 exons. Lineage: Eukaryota; Metazoa; Chordata; Actinopteri; Siluriformes; Ictaluridae. The record is from RefSeq and is a predicted model, not a curated record.